RNAcentral lists this ribosomal RNA (550 nucleotides) under uncultured bacterium. RNAcentral describes it as "bacterial SSU rRNA". It matches the Rfam family "Bacterial small subunit ribosomal RNA", at positions 355 to 896 of the family's 1533-position model. The record is from RNAcentral.
UAGGGAAUCUUCGGCAAUGGACGGAAGUCUGACCGAGCAACGCCGCGUGAGUGAAGAAGGUUUUCGGAUCGUAAAGCUCUGUUGUAAGAGAAGAACGAGUGUGAGAGUGGAAAGUUCACACUGUGACGGUAUCUUACCAGAAAGGGACGGCUAACUACGUGCCAGCAGCCGCGGUAAUACGUAGGUCCCGAGCGUUGUCCGGAUUUAUUGGGCGUAAAGCGAGCGCAGGCGGUUAGAUAAGUCUGAAGUUAAAGGCUGUGGCUUAACCAUAGUACGCUUUGGAAACUGUUUAACUUGAGUGCAAGAGGGGAGAGUGGAAUUCCAUGUGUAGCGGUGAAAUGCGUAGAUAUAUGGAGGAACACCGGUGGCGAAAGCGGCUCUCUGGCUUGUAACUGACGCUGAGGCUCGAAAGCGUGGGGAGCAAACAGGAUUAGAUACCCUGGUAGUCCACGCCGUAAACGAUGAGUGCUAGGUGUUAGACCCUUUCCGGGGUUUAGUGNCGCAGCUAACGCAUUAAGCACUCCGCCUGGGGAGUACNACCGCAAGGUUG